AAUAAUUAUAAUUUAUCAAACUAAAUAACUGUAAUCUCCGAAAUUACAACCCUAGUAGUGCCAUAUAAAUUUUAAAAGAUCAAAUUUCCAAAAAAAUUUUUGUGAGGCUUCCCUCUCUCUCUCUAUCUCUCUGUCUGAUUUUUAGUUCAUUAAUCUUGCUUUAAGGACUCGGCUUUCUUUCGCUAUCCUCCAUUAUUUUGAAACCAACAAUCGUUGGAAAAGAUCUGACAGCAAACAAUGUUUAUUAAAAAGCCUCAGUAAAUAUUUCACGUCAACUUCUAUUAUUCAAGAUUGGAAGUAGGACAGGACCCUUCCGUUUUCCUGUCGGAACAAUGGAUCGUUCCGGAAUUCCGCGCGGAUGGAAAUGGGUGUAUGGAACUAAAUAAAAGAGGGUCGCUUUCCUCGGAGAAAGUGAAUCAAUCGAUAACCGAACAAAGAAUGAGUAAACGUUACAAGUCUUUUAUUCGUUUGACAUUACGCUGCUGAUGGUCAUAAAUUCCUUUGCUUCUCCCUUUGUUUACGAUAAGUGUCAUCUCUAUAUUUUAUUUAAGGCAAGUGUUAGUCCAAAUGCAGUAUUUACAGUGCUUUGGGUACAAGUCUGAUGGGUAAAGACGGCACCAAAUGGGUUUAUAACGCAUGCGCUCGUUAGAUAAACCAUGUUAACUUGCCGCAGCAAUGGUAGAGGAUAAUAGAUGUUUAUAAAAUGCCGGUUGAACCUAAUUGUUGAAAUUAUAUUCCAUGUAUUCACGAAAUUUAAACAUUUUAAUAAAGAUAACCAUCAUAUCGAGCUAUAAGUUCACACAUAAAAAAAUUUGUUUCCAAUGCUGUCAUACAUGUGAAGUUAUGAUAUAUUUUGAGUCCAUUAUAUUUUAUAUAACACUGAUCAUAUCUGAAUGUUAGAAGUCACAGUUGGAUUUAGAAAGGACGAAAAUUUGAGAUACAAGAAAGCUUUCUGUCGGUCAAGCUGUCGAAUGACGUCUACACGUCCUGCCUGGAAAGUUUUAACUUCGAUCUUCUGCCUCUCUGGUUAUAUCUCCAGAAAUUUGACUUGUGUUCGGAAUAUAUUUUAUGAUCGAACACUUUCUCGUAAGUUUUAACAUCUGGAAAAGAUCCAUAAUCAAUCUUAAUUACGGUAUUUGUAAACCGAAUUGGUUUCUGUUACUUGCUGUGUUUUGAAACCGAGGAAAAAAAAAAAAAAAAACAUGAUUG
Molecule: long non-coding RNA, 1209 nt
Filed under: Androctonus crassicauda
Lineage: Eukaryota; Metazoa; Arthropoda; Arachnida; Scorpiones; Buthidae
Source: RNAcentral